RNAcentral lists this ribosomal RNA (743 nucleotides) under Escherichia coli. RNAcentral describes it as "partial 23S ribosomal RNA". It matches the Rfam family "Bacterial large subunit ribosomal RNA", at positions 2056 to 2798 of the family's 2925-position model. Lineage: Bacteria; Pseudomonadati; Pseudomonadota; Gammaproteobacteria; Enterobacterales; Enterobacteriaceae. The record is from RNAcentral.
AAGAUGCAGUGUACCCGCGGCAAGACGGAAAGACCCCGUGAACCUUUACUAUAGCUUGACACUGAACAUUGAGCCUUGAUGUGUAGGAUAGGUGGGAGGCUUUGAAGUGUGGACGCCAGUCUGCAUGGAGCCGACCUUGAAAUACCACCCUUUAAUGUUUGAUGUUCUAACGUUGACCCGUAAUCCGGGUUGCGGACAGUGUCUGGUGGGUAGUUUGACUGGGGCGGUCUCCUCCUAAAGAGUAACGGAGGAGCACGAAGGUUGGCUAAUCCUGGUCGGACAUCAGGAGGUUAGUGCAAUGGCAUAAGCCAGCUUGACUGCGAGCGUGACGGCGCGAGCAGGUGCGAAAGCAGGUCAUAGUGAUCCGGUGGUUCUGAAUGGAAGGGCCAUCGCUCAACGGAUAAAAGGUACUCCGGGGAUAACAGGCUGAUACCGCCCAAGAGUUCAUAUCGACGGCGGUGUUUGGCACCUCGAUGUCGGCUCAUCACAUCCUGGGGCUGAAGUAGGUCCCAAGGGUAUGGCUGUUCGCCAUUUAAAGUGGUACGCGAGCUGGGUUUAGAACGUCGUGAGACAGUUCGGUCCCUAUCUGCCGUGGGCGCUGGAGAACUGAGGGGGGCUGCUCCUAGUACGAGAGGACCGGAGUGGACGCAUCACUGGUGUUCGGGUUGUCAUGCCAAUGGCACUGCCCGGUAGCUAAAUGCGGAAGAGAUAAGUGCUGAAAGCAUCUAAGCACGAAACUUGCC